Xenia sp. Carnegie-2017 is the source of this 539-nucleotide long non-coding RNA. RefSeq lists it as uncharacterized. Lineage: Eukaryota; Metazoa; Cnidaria; Anthozoa; Malacalcyonacea; Xeniidae. The transcript has 3 exons. The record is from RefSeq and is a predicted model, not a curated record.
CAUGUUGACGACGAUAAAAGCUCUAGCGAGGACGAGGUUCCAAUACAAAAACAACCAUUAAUAAGACCGAAUCCACUGAACAUAUGUUCAAAAGAAAUAUCGAUGAAUCACAUAUACAGUUUGGAAGGUCGUUGGCUCACGUGGUAUAUACGAGGAAUCUGCUUUCGAAAGUGAAGAGGAAGCAAUCACCACAAGAGAUUUGCAAGAAGAUUCAAAGUGUACUCUGCAAACUUUGUAUAUACAGAUGGACUAUUAUGAGAAGAGUACUCUAAGGAAUGUUACUGACGAGGGAUAGUACAAGGACCAACAGAGAAAAAUGCUGCUUCUCUGUGAGAUUGUAGAAGGAUUAGUUCACUUUCAUUCAAUAGAGAAUUCAAAAUGGCUUUGAUGGUGGAGAUUAGUGUCCUCAUCUGAUAUCUAUUCCUUUCGGCUACGCUUUGAAAAAUUCAAGAGUUUGGAAUGAAUUUGAGGUGUUGCAAAUUCUUAGAAAAAGGAGGGUUUGCUUCAGUUGUCAAGGUACGUAAUAAAUUCGACGGCUG